GGCGUCUCAACUAGUUUUUGAAUUUUGGGUUAAUCCCCCAACGAGCGCAACCCCUUUCCUUCUUGCCAGCGGGUAAUCCCGGGACUUUAGGAGACUGCCGUUGAUAAACCGGAGGAAGGUGGGGAGACGUCAAGUCAUCAUGGCCCUUACGAGUAGGGCUACACACGUGCUACAAUGGUCAGUACAGAGGGUUGCGAAGCCGCGAGGUGGAGCUAAUCCCAUAAAGCUGGUCGUAGUCCGGAUUGGAGUCUGCAACUCGACUCCAUGAAGUCGGAAUCGCUAGUAAUCGUGGAUCAGAAUGCCACGGUGAAUACGUUCCCGGGCCUUGUACACACCGCCCGUCACACCAUGGGAGUGGGCUGCACCAGAAGUAGAUAGCUUAACCUUCGGGAGGGCGUUACCCACCGGGGGUUCCCCGGGCA
This 422-nucleotide ribosomal RNA is filed under the name Paenibacillus sp. Its description in RNAcentral is "bacterial SSU rRNA". It matches the Rfam family "Bacterial small subunit ribosomal RNA", at positions 1051 to 1477 of the family's 1533-position model. The record is from RNAcentral. Lineage: Bacteria; Bacillati; Bacillota; Bacilli; Caryophanales; Paenibacillaceae.